CUAGCUCAUCUAUGCAAGUUCUCAUCCUAUUACAUUUGAUCCAGUAAUUGAAUUACCCACUGUGGGACUGUGAGAAAUGUACCAAUAUUGGAAGUAUAGCCUAUUUACAUGACUGGCCUAAUUGCAAGUAUAGCCUAUUUACACAACUAAUCUAAUUACAGACAUAGACAAACGAAUUACAAAAAUAGCCUAAUUGUAGAUUUGGCUCAGAUA
RNAcentral lists this long non-coding RNA (213 nucleotides) under Nicotiana benthamiana. RNAcentral describes it as "long non-coding RNA (NBEN_LNC041626)". Lineage: Eukaryota; Viridiplantae; Streptophyta; Magnoliopsida; Solanales; Solanaceae. The record is from RNAcentral.